Molecule: ribosomal RNA, 439 nt
Filed under: uncultured bacterium
Lineage: Bacteria
Description: partial 16S ribosomal RNA
Rfam family: Bacterial small subunit ribosomal RNA
Source: RNAcentral
CCUACGGGAGGCAGCAGUGGGGAAUAUUGCACAAUGGGGGAAACCCUGAUGCAGCGACGCCGCGUGAGUGAAGAAGUAUCUCGGUACGUAAAGCUCUAUCAGCAGGGAAGAAAAUGACGGUACCUGACUAAGAAGCCCCGGCUCACUACGUGCCAGCAGCCGCGGUAAUACGUAGGGGGCAAGCGUUAUCCGGAUUUACUGGGUGUAAAGGGAGCGUAGAUGGCAUAGUAAGUCUUUUGUAAAAAUGCUGGGCCAAACCCAGUAGGGCAAAAGAUACUGCAAAGCUAGAGUAUGACAGAGGCAAGCGGAAUGAGAGGUGUAGCGGUAAAAUGCGUAAAUAUAUGUAAGAACACCAGUGGCGAAGGCAGCUUGCUGGGGCGAUACUGACAGUGAGGCACGAAAGCGUGGGGAGCGAACAGGAUUAGAUACCCGUGUAGUC